AUUGAACGCUGGCGGCAGGCCUAACACAUGCAAGUCGAGCGGAUGAGUGGAGCUUGCUCCCUGAUUCAGCGGCGGACGGGUGAGUAAUGCCUAGGAAUCUGCCUGGUAGUGGGGGACAACGUUUCGAAAGGAACGCUAAUACCGCAUACGUCCUACGGGAGAAAGUGGGGGAUCUUCGGACCUCACGCUAUCAGAUGAGCCUAGGUCGGAUUAGCUAGUUGGUGAGGUAAAGGCUCACCAAGGCGACGAUCCGUAACUGGUCUGAGAGGAUGAUCAGUCACACUGGAACUGAGACACGGUCCAGACUCCUACGGGAGGCAGCAGUGGGGAAUAUUGGACAAUGGGCGAAAGCCUGAUCCAGCCAUGCCGCGUGUGUGAAGAAGGUCUUCGGAUUGUAAAGCACUUUAAGUUGGGAGGAAGGGCAGUAAGUUAAUACCUUGCUGUUUUGACGUUACCAACAGAAUAAGCACCGGCUAACUUCGUG
This 484-nucleotide ribosomal RNA is filed under the name uncultured bacterium. Its description in RNAcentral is "partial 16S ribosomal RNA". It matches the Rfam family "Bacterial small subunit ribosomal RNA", at positions 30 to 507 of the family's 1533-position model. The record is from RNAcentral.